This is a long non-coding RNA of Chinchilla lanigera (long-tailed chinchilla), 2159 nucleotides long. The record is from Ensembl. NCBI's taxonomy places the organism in Eukaryota, Metazoa, Chordata, Mammalia, Rodentia, Chinchillidae.
GAGACCAGUACCUUUAGAAUGACUAGCAAGCCAGAGGAGUACGUUAUGGAGAUUGAACAAAAUGCAGCUGAAACGUUUCCCAGAAAUCCAUACUGUUUGAGUGAAGGAACACAAUGUGGGUGUAGACUGCACAAUGUGAUAAUUCAGCCGCAGAUGGCUUCAGGAAAACCAUGGUCACUCUGGAAAACAUGUCUAGUGUGUCUAUUGGCCUGCUUGAUAGCCUCAGCCAUUGUAGCUUUGGUCAGCCAUUUUGGCCAGUAUGGCAAGCCCAUCGGCAAUACCACCAUCAUCAUUCAUGCAGAUGGAAGAUCCAACCAGGGUGCUGGAAUCCCUACUUAUACCCCACCUACCUCAUCUACCUCACCUGGACCUCAGAGCACCACACCUUCUACCCCCACAACCAGCCCAAGUACAUCUACUAGCGUACCCACAACUUCCAUGGAGACGACUACCACCAUCUCGACCACCACCCCAAUACACCAUGUUGAUAUUGAGUAUGAGGAUGAAGAGUAGCUUGGAGCCCUCAGUCCUCUUCAAGCCAGAGCUAAACCUCUACUCUAAAGGAGGCAUUCCCUGCAUUCUCUCUCCUUGCUUUGUAAGGACCUGUUUCUCUUGCUCAGUGCUUUGCUGGCUUCUCAUAUGGUGAUGACUUAGUCUUGGGCCCACUGAUGUUCAAAUGACUGGGAAAGAAAAUGACUAUGGGUCUGGGUGAUUCAUCCAGGUUACAGCAGAGAAUAUUUUUUUUCCCACUCCUGUACUAACGAGAACUUCAACUCAUAAAAAGGCUGCCAAUGAGCCCUAUUCAAUUUAGCUCCCUGCAUCUCUUUUCUGAAUCCAGUAUCUACCAUCUGGCCAGUGUGGAUUCUUUCCUAAUCGCAUAUAUUUGACCCUUACUCACUAUUUGUAUGCCAGCAGGGAAAGAAGACAAUGUUCAGUUAGAGCGAUUAACAAGCAUAAUUUACUAAAUACCUAUGGAUCUUUUGAAGGGGGGCCUAUUUUGGAGAAUUCAGAAACAGUGGUCCUCAGUGAGAGGUAAACAAGGAAGGAUUCUGAAAAACAGUUAAACAUGGGAAAGGGGUGAAGGUUUAGAUUUAGGGAGAUGGUUAGAACAGAGAAUGAAAGCACCAAGGAAGUGUAAUGGAAUUAAAAGCCAAGGCACCUACAUGUCCCUGCAAUUUCUCAUGAAGAUCCCCAAUAAUAUUUUACAUAUCUGAUACUGCUUAAUCUCUAAACUAUUUUGAAGUGCUACGUAGAAAUUUUAAGCUUUUAAGUUGUUUUGUAAGUUACAGCAUAAUUUAAGAGGACAUAUUGCUUGUAAUUUGCUGUGAAACAUAAGACUUGUUCAACAUUACUCAUGUUACAAGUGGUUAGUACAGUUCUAAUUAGAAGCAAGUGUUUUUCAGUUUGGAAAAGACUUCAGGGGCAAAGAAACCUGCCUGCCUUAGCUUUAGUCUACUAACUCUACAAAAAGGGAAGAUAGAAAGACUAAGCCAAAGACAGACUCAGUGAGUCAACGUUGGAACUCACAUCUCUAGUUUAUAUUUUCUGAUUCUCUUUUGCACACAAUUAGAGGUCCUGCACACACUCUGAAAGCACUGUUUCAUUUUUCAAGAUCUCCCAAUGCAAAAGACUUUGUACUUCAUAUAAAUCUAAAUUGGUUUUCUGCAGUCCAUAAUAGACCACUUAGAUUAGCUAUUAAGUUCUUACUGAAUAAUUAAGCUCUGCAUAAGAAAAAUUAGAAAUUAUCAUUCUUUAGAUAGUUGUUGUCUAUAGGUAGUUAGUAUUAUUUUUCAAAUAUUGAUAAAUGUAAGAAUUUGAGUAUUUGAAGUUAUUUGACAAACCACAAACAUUCAGUAGUAGAUCUUAAGAAUGAUGCGAGGUAUAAUGUAAAUCUUAAACAAUAAAUUUUGUUAAGCUCUAGAUUGAUAAAGCACUAGAUAAGAAUAAGGUGCAAGAAAGUAAGUACACACACAUUUUUUUCCUGCAGCAUAAUUUUAAAACAAUGCACUUGAAUUGUAUUUUGAUUUAAAUGCUUGUGAAGAUGAAAGCUUAAAUUUACUGGGAUCAAAUUACUUAUGUAAUUUAAAUUUUGUUUUGUGAGAUGAAAGUAAAAAAUAAGUUUUAAAGAAUUCUCUAAACAAAUAAAGAAUGAUACAGAA